AACGGACGAGAAGCUUGCUUCUCUGAUGUUAGCGGCGGACGGGUGAGUAACACGUGGAUAACCUACCUAUAAGACUGGGAUAACUUCGGGAAACCGGAGCUAAUACCGGAUAAUAUUUUGAACCGCAUGGUUCAAAAGUGAAAGACGGUCUUGCUGUCACUUAUAGAUGGAUCCGCGCUGCAUUAGCUAGUUGGUAAGGUAACGGCUUACCAAGGCAACGAUGCAUAGCCGACCUGAGAGGGUGAUCGGCCACACUGGAACUGAGACACGGUCCAGACUCCUACGGGAGGCAGCAGUAGGGAAUCUUCCGCAAUGGGCGAAAGCCUGACGGAGCAACGCCGCGUGAGUGAUGAAGGUCUUCGGAUCGUAAAACUCUGUUAUUAGGGAAGAACAUAUGUGUAAGUAACUGUGCACAUCUUGACGGUACCUAAUCAGAAAGCCACGGCUAACUACGUGCCAGCAGCCGCGGUAAUACGUAGGUGGCAAGCGUUAUCCGGAAUUAUUGGGCGUAAAGCGCGCGUAGGCGGUUUUUUAAGUCUGAUGUGAAAGCCCACGGCUCAACCGUGGAGGGUCAUUGGAAACUGGAAAACUUGAGUGCAGAAGAGGAAAGUGGAAUUCCAUGUGUAGCGGUGAAAUGCGCAGAGAUAUGGAGGAACACCAGUGGCGAAGGCGACUUUCUGGUCUGUAACUGACGCUGAUGUGCG
Molecule: ribosomal RNA, 704 nt
Filed under: uncultured Bacilli bacterium
Lineage: Bacteria; Bacillati; Bacillota; Bacilli
Description: bacterial SSU rRNA
Rfam family: Bacterial small subunit ribosomal RNA
Source: RNAcentral